AUUAAACGCUGGCGGCAUGCCUUACACAUGCAAGUCGAACGGCAGCACGGGGGCAACCCUGGUGGCGAGUGGCGGACGGGUGAGUAAAGCAUCGGAACGUAUCCUGGAGUGGGGGAUAACGUAGCGAAAGUUACGCUAAUACCGCAUAUUCUGUGAGCAGGAAAGCAGGGGAUCGCAAGACCUUGCGCUCUGGGAGCGGCCGAUGUCGGAUUAGCUAGUUGGUGGGGUAAAGGCCUACCAAGGCGACGAUCCGUAGCGGGUCUGAGAGGAUGAUCCGCCACACUGGGACUGAGACACGGCCCAGACUCCUACGGGAGGCAGCAGUGGGGAAUUUUGGACAAUGGGCGCAAGCCUGAUCCAGCCAUGCCGCGUGAGUGAAGAAGGCCUCGGUU
RNAcentral lists this ribosomal RNA (392 nucleotides) under uncultured bacterium. RNAcentral describes it as "bacterial SSU rRNA". It matches the Rfam family "Bacterial small subunit ribosomal RNA", at positions 29 to 424 of the family's 1533-position model. The record is from RNAcentral.